CGAAGGAUGCAAGCGUUAUCCGGAUUCAUUGGGUUUAAAGGGUGCGUAGGCGGACUGAUAAGUCAGUGGUGAAAUCUCUUUGCUUAACAAAGAAACUGCCAUUGAUACUGUCGGUCUAGAGUAUAGAUGACGUUGGCGGAAUAUGACAUGUAGUGGUGAAAUACUUAGAUAUGUCAUAGAACACCGAUUGCGAAGGCAGCUAACGAAACUAUAACUGACGACUGAGGCACGAAAGUGCGGGGAUCAAACAGGAUUAGAUACCCUGGUAGUCCGCACCGUAAACGAUGAUUACUCGUUGUUGGCGAUAUGACAGUCAGCGACCAAGCGAAAGCGAUAAGUAAUCCACCUGGGGAGUACGCCGGCAACGGUG
RNAcentral lists this ribosomal RNA (370 nucleotides) under uncultured organism. RNAcentral describes it as "bacterial SSU rRNA". It matches the Rfam family "Bacterial small subunit ribosomal RNA", at positions 526 to 896 of the family's 1533-position model. The record is from RNAcentral.